RNAcentral lists this transfer RNA (70 nucleotides) under Acinetobacter baumannii. It matches the Rfam family "tRNA". Rfam says of the family: Transfer RNA (tRNA) molecules are approximately 80 nucleotides in length. Their secondary structure includes four short double-helical elements and three loops (D, anti-codon, and T loops). Lineage: Bacteria; Pseudomonadati; Pseudomonadota; Gammaproteobacteria; Moraxellales; Moraxellaceae. RNAcentral also lists the same sequence under 12 other names. The record is from RNAcentral.
AGCGGUAGUUCAGUUGGUUAGAAUACCGGCCUGUCACGCCGGGGGUCGCGGGUUCGAGCCCCGUCCGCUG